This is a non-coding RNA of Trichonephila clavipes, 93 nucleotides long. Lineage: Eukaryota; Metazoa; Arthropoda; Arachnida; Araneae; Nephilidae. The record is from the annotation of a GenBank genome assembly.
GUCAGGAUGGCCGAGCGGUCUAAGGCGCCAGAUUUAAGCUCUGGUUCUCAAAAAAGAGAGCGUGGGUUCGAACCCCAAACAAUUGUUCCAACG